UAGCCUUGGGGAUGUUUUCGAUGUUUUUCACUGCUUUAUCGCCUUAUCGGGUGCCGUAGGUUAAGGCUCUCCCCUCUUUUCAUUCUGACUGUAGUUAGUCGAGUUCUAGUCGGCCCCGGGCUCGGUCUGUGUUUUUUGUGUUUGAAAUUUGAACUAAAUUCGAGGAAAAAUCGCCUGAACGAAAAACAAGUGGAGAAAAAAUGCACGUUGACGGGGACACAAAGGGAGCCACUUGGUUACCGCCUCAGACAUCGACGGAGCAGCAAAAGCAGUUAAAACAAGACGCAGAGUUUUUUCUACUCUGGAAAAAUUUGGCUCAUUACACACUCAUACAUAUUGUCUACGAUGAAGGCCGUUUUCUCCUCUGAGCUCUCAUCCAUUUCAAUUUGCCAAUAUCCUGACGCUAAAUCUAGAGUCGAAAAAUAUUUUUGACCGUGAGCAAAUCGAGGACAUCAUCUAUUCGAGGUAACGGAAAAGAAUCCUUUUUCAUAAUACCGUUGAGUUUCCUAUAAUCCAUGCAGAGCCGGAUUCAUCCAUUUUUCUUUUUUACUAAUACUACUGGUGCCGCCCAUGGUGACACGGAGGAUCUUAUUAAUUUAUCAGCCAACAAUUCCAGAAUGAUACCGUCAAGCUCGUGCUUCUCGUUGUGAUGUAUCCGAUAGGGGCAUAAUCGAAUGGGCUUUUGUCCUUCUGUAUUAAUAUGGUGCUUUACUAACCCGGUCUUUCCUAGUUCCUCAGUUGAAGAUGCAAAUAUUGAUUUUGUAACAGUUGGUUACAGGAAGUAAAGACACGUACUCAGUGUAUGGGAGAACAACUUGUAUUGGGUAAGACACAGAUGUAAAUGUUACAUACAGUAACAGUUGUGGCAUACAGUCCUGCGGAGUCUUGGGUAGACUCCGCUUAAAUAGCAGUGUGAUGCUGAUGUGGCUGUGCCUACAAGGCACCGACUGGAGGUCAGUUUCCAGACGAUCCAGAUAGAAGAUGUUUCAGAAUAUGAUGUGACCAAAUCGCUGCAAAACAGUGCAUCAAUUUUGGACGACACACCAAAACUAAGCACGGUCCGCACAAAUGGAUGUUAAUAGCAGACCCCGAGGAAAACCCACUUACCCCAUUAAUGAUAAAAAACGUCGAUAAAAAUGAAUGCCUUACAACAGACAACAAUAACAACACAAUUUACUUAGCAUCCUGCAAUGCAAGCGCAUAUCAAUAUUACAUAUUUGAACACAUCCUCCCAGAAAACAGCUACUUCUAAUUCAAUUUGGCACAGGAAGCAACCAUUUCAGCAGACGGAUUCCUAGAAUUAAGAUCCAGUACUUUGUUAGCAGGAAGAUCUUUAAACCUCAGAAAGUGUAGCAGAGUCUCAGCAAGUGGAAGGACGCUCAUUCUGCAACAGUGCGUCACCAUCCCAGUAAAAAUCGAAGCGCGCCUAACCAAGUGUGGAUAUCAACCAUUCUUCCAGACACCUAACGCGAACUUCACAGUUGGCAAAGACGGUUGAGUACUACAUAACAAGUCCCGUUCAAAUUUCUGGGACAUGACUAGCUGGAUAGAAGUAAUAAAAUACGGAUUUCUCGCAUUAAUAAUAUUUUUACUGUCAACACUCGUAUUAUGGAUAUGUUUUACUGGUGUCCCCUUUUAUAGCAUUUUUGCUCUAUGUAAGAGAAAACGGAACCACGUUAAGACUGAACAAGAAAUUCCGUUAACUCAAAGAAAGUCUAGAAGAUCACGCUCUCGUCGUACAACAAAAAUGGACCCUGAAGAAGGUCUCUGUUGGGACGAUGGAUGUGUAAUCCAAAAGAUGGAAUCGUAAAAAUAAUUAAUGAAAACCGCAACCUCUUGUGAUGAUUGGAUCACAAUAUGCACUCACACUGAAGUUACACUUAUACUGAACUAACACUAACACAUAAACACUGAGUAGGUUAUAAGGAAACUUGUAUUUACCACUUGUUAGGGAGUACACUGCCGGGAUCACUCUGCCGGGAUGAGGCAGAGCGUGGGCUUUUAUACUUAGGGUUAGUUAUUGCAACAUAGGUACAGACACGUAUACAGUUGCACCAUCACCAGGAUGUGGUGGUGCAAGAAGAGAAAGAUGUUUGUCGGAUGGCGCAAUUGGCAUUGCACCAUCCGAAGCAACCUAAGUAUCAAGGCUGAAAGCGCCUGCCUUGUCAUAAAAGGCUGACGGCUUUCACCUUGAGAGGCAAGGCUCCUGCCUCGCUACACUCUCGAGUCUCGACCACCCACAUCCUUUAAAAUUUUUUGUCUUAAAUAGUCUUUAAGUAGAAAAUUAUUACAAAAUUUUCAAAUUUACAUUAUGUGACACACAAAAAAAGAAACAAACAAAAAUCCAUUAAAUGUUCAAGGCUAUAUAUUGACUACACAAAUUCAAAUUGUUGUCCCUGUAGAAAAUGGCCAUUCCUCCAACUGCCAUUUAACCCGACGCACCUCUAUCAAAUCUUCAAACGGAUAUUGAAGCUACUCCAUAAACAGUUCCGCAGUUCGAUCAUAAGGAUAGAAAAUAUCUUUGCCUGACUCCAUCCACCAUAGUAAUCUUGAACAACCGAAUGGAUAAAAAUUUCGAUAAAAGGCAUAGCUUUUGUAUCGACUAAAAAAAACAUUUUACUUAAACAUGCAACUAACAAUAAAAUAAUAGUAUGUCUAAAAAUUUGUGAAAUGCUUAUUGGUAAUAAUAAUCGUUGACAUGCACCACACUAAAAUGGUGCCGACAAGCCGGAUACAACAUCCCCGGGUCGACAGCGUCGAAACCUUCGAGGAACAGCACGCGAUGUCUAUCCUCUAACUUGCCCCAAAAGUUAUAACCCUGAAGAGCCGAAAGAGCGACAGAAAUACCACUGUCCACUUGGAGUUUUUGCUCCAAUAAAAUCUCUGGAGACAUCCAAAACCAACCUGACGGCGUAACUGGCAUGUUGCAGGAUUUAAAGACGAACAACAACUGAUCUUCACCUGCAAGCCGUUUCUUCUUUAAAAAGGGAAUGAAGGAGAAGAUGCACCCUAGCAACCAUAUAUCUAUGCCUAGUAUAAUUGUAGUAAAAAUGUAGAUGCAUAUUCUUCUGGUAAAGGAAAUUUAUGGGCAAAUUAAAAAAGAAAGAAAUAAAUAUUCUGUUGUGAUGAUUCACAAUAGUUCUCAAUAAACAAACAACGAGGAGGAGGCAGUGUUCUUGCAGUACUGUGUAUUAAAGUAGAUGUCGGGAUACAAUGCCGGGUACGACUCUGCUGGAUGAACAGAGUGUCGGGCUUUUAUAGACGGUUACCAAGGUUGUGGGGAUUGCACCAUCACUGCAGAGUGUGGCGCAAUCCCGGAUGUAGUUGCAUAGUUAACAGGUGAGAUGGUGCAAUAGAGAAACGCAUCAAGGUACUGCGUAGUAGAUUGACCUUGGGGUACUGCGUAGUAGAUUGCUCUAUACUACAAGCAGUAGGCCGAAUGUUACACAAGUAAUUACACUCCUCCCCCUUCCGCAGAAGUUUGGUCGGGGAAGGAAACUAUUUCUUUUAGUAUCAAUACAUGCAAGGAAAUUUUCGAAUGCUGCUA
RNAcentral lists this long non-coding RNA (3547 nucleotides) under Daphnia pulicaria. RNAcentral's name for it is "uncharacterized LOC124328381, transcript variant X4". The record is from RNAcentral. Lineage: Eukaryota; Metazoa; Arthropoda; Branchiopoda; Diplostraca; Daphniidae.